CUAAAAGGUACAUAUGUGUGUU
This 22-nucleotide non-coding RNA is filed under the name Rattus norvegicus (Norway rat). Lineage: Eukaryota; Metazoa; Chordata; Mammalia; Rodentia; Muridae. The record is from RNAcentral.